GGUUAAGCGACUAAGCGUACACGGUGGAUGCCCUGGCAGUCAGAGGCGAUGAAGGACGUGCUAAUCUGCGAAAAGCGUCGGUAAGGUGAUAUGAACCGUUAUAACCGGCGAUGUCCGAAUGGGGAAACCCAGUGCAAUUCGUUGCACUAUCGUUAACUGAAUACAUAGGUUAACGAGGCGAACCGGGGGAACUGAAACAUCUAAGUACCCCGAGGAAAAGAAAUCAACCGAGAUUCCCCCAGUAGCGGCGAGCGAACGGGGAGCAGCCCAGAGUCUGAAUCAGCUUGUGUGUUAGUGGAACGGUCUGGAAAGUCCGACGGUACAGGGUGAUAGUCCCGUACACCAAAAUGCACAGGCUGUGAACUCGAAGAGUAGGGCGGGACACGUGGUAUCCUGUCUGAAUAUGGGGGGACCAUCCUCCAAGGCUAAAUACUCCUGACUGACCGAUAGUGAACCAGUACCGUGAGGGAAAGGCGAAAAGAACCCCGGCGAGGGGAGUGAAAAAGAACCUGAAACCGUGUACGUACAAGCAGUGGGAGCACCUUCGGGUGUGACUGCGUACCUUUUGUAUAAUGGGUCAGCGACUUAUAUUCUGUAGCAAGGUUAACCGUAUAGGGGAGCCGCAGGGAAACCGAGUCUUAACUGGGCGUUAAGUUGCAGGGUAUAGACCCGAAACCCGGUGAUCUAGCCAUGGGCAGGUUGAAGGUUGGGUAACACUAACUGGAGGACCGAACCGACUAAUGUUGAAAAAUUAGCGGAUGACUUGUGGCUGGGGGUGAAAGGCCAAUCAAACCGGGAGAUAGCUGGUUCUCCCCGAAAGCUAUUUAGGUAGCGCCUCGUGAACUCAUCUUCGGGGGUAGAGCACUGUUUCGGCUAGGGGGUCAUCCCGACUUACCAACCCGAUGCAAACUACGAAUACCGAAGAAUGUUAUCACGGGAGACACACGGCGGGUGCUAACGUCCGUCGUGAAGAGGGAAACAACCCAGACCGCCAGCUAAGGUCCCAAAGUCAUGGUUAAGUGGGAAACGAUGUGGGAAGGCACAGACAGCCAGGAUGUUGGCUUAGAAGCAGCCAUCAUUUAAAGAAAGCGUAAUAGCUCACUGGUCGAGUCGGCCUGCGCGGAAGAUGUAACGGGGCUAAACCAUGCACCGAAGCUGCGGCAGCGACACUAUGUGUUGUUGGGUAGGGGAGCGUUCUGUAAGCCUGCGAAGGUGACCUGUGAGGGUUGCUGGAGGUAUCAGAAGUGCGAAUGCUGACAUAAGUAACGAUAAAGCGGGUGAAAAGCCCGCUCGCCGGAAGACCAAGGGUUCCUGUCCAACGUUAAUCGGGGCAGGGUGAGUCGACCCCUAAGGCGAGGCCGAAAGGCGUAGUCGAUGGGAAACAGGUUAAUAUUCCUGUACUUGGUGUUACUGCGAAGGGGGGACGGAGAAGGCUAUGUUAGCCGGGCGACGGUUGUCCCGGUUUAAGCAUGUAGGCUGAUUGUCCAGGCAAAUCCGGAUAAUCAAGGCUGAGGUGUGAUGACGAGGCACUACGGUGCUGAAGUAACAAAUGCCCUGCUUCCAGGAAAAGCCUCUAAGCAUCAGGUAACAUCAAAUCGUACCCCAAACCGACACAGGUGGUCAGGUAGAGAAUACCAAGGCGCUUGAGAGAACUCGGGUGAAGGAACUAGGCAAAAUGGUGCCGUAACUUCGGGAGAAGGCACGCUGGUGUGUAGGUGAAGUCCCUGCGGAUGGAGCUGAGACCAGUCGAAGAUACCAGCUGGCUGCAACUGUUUAUUAAAAACACAGCACUGUGCAAACACGAAAGUGGACGUAUACGGUGUGACGCCUGCCCGGUGCCGGAAGGUUAAUUGAUGGGGUUAUCCGUAAGGAGAAGCUCUUGAUCGAAGCCCCGGUAAACGGCGGCCGUAACUAUAACGGUCCUAAGGUAGCGAAAUUCCUUGUCGGGUAAGUUCCGACCUGCACGAAUGGCGUAAUGAUGGCCAGGCUGUCUCCACCCGAGACUCAGUGAAAUUGAACUCGCUGUGAAGAUGCAGUGUACCCGCGGCAAGACGGAAAGACCCCGUGAACCUUUACUAUAGCUUGACACUGAACAUUGAGCCUUGAUGUGUAGGAUAGGUGGGAGGCUUUGAAGCGUGGACGCCAGUCUGCGUGGAGCCAACCUUGAAAUACCACCCUUUAAUGUUUGAUGUUCUAACGUUGGCCCCUGACCGGGGUUGCGGACAGUGUCUGGUGGGUAGUUUGACUGGGGCGGUCUCCUCCCAAAGCGUAACGGAGGAGCACGAAGGUUAGCUAAUCCUGGUCGGACAUCAGGAGGUUAGUGCAAUGGCAUAAGCUAGCUUGACUGCGAGCGUGACGGCGCGAGCAGGUGCGAAAGCAGGUCAUAGUGAUCCGGUGGUUCUGAAUGGAAGGGCCAUCGCUCAACGGAUAAAAGGUACUCCGGGGAUAACAGGCUGAUACCGCCCAAGAGUUCAUAUCGACGGCGGUGUUUGGCACCUCGAUGUCGGCUCAUCACAUCCUGGGGCUGAAGUAGGUCCCAAGGGUAUGGCUGUUCGCCAUUUAAAGUGGUACGCGAGCUGGGUUUAGAACGUCGUGAGACAGUUCGGUCCCUAUCUGCCGUGGGCGCUGGAGAAUUGAGGGGGGCUGCUCCUAGUACGAGAGGACCGGAGUGGACGCAUCACUGGUGUUCGGGUUGUCAUGCCAAUGGCACUGCCCGGUAGCUAAAUGCGGAAGAGAUAAGUGCUGAAAGCAUCUAAGCACGAAACUUGCCCCGAGAUGAGUUCUCCCUGAGACUUUAAGUCUCCUGAAGGAACGUUGAAGACGACGACGUUGAUAGGCCGGGUGUGUAAGCGCAGCGAUGCGUUGAGCUAACCGGUACUAAUGAACCGUGAGGCUUAACCUU
This 2902-nucleotide ribosomal RNA is filed under the name Klebsiella pneumoniae. RNAcentral describes it as "23S ribosomal RNA". It matches the Rfam family "Bacterial large subunit ribosomal RNA". The record is from RNAcentral. Lineage: Bacteria; Pseudomonadati; Pseudomonadota; Gammaproteobacteria; Enterobacterales; Enterobacteriaceae.